AAGAACAACAAAUAUAGAAAACUAAAUCAUCCUAUUAUAGAAAAGAAAAAACAAACCGUGAUUUACACAAGGAUGAGAAAGGUAAGUACGUGAACCAAAACUCAAGAGUAAUUGUCCCAACAUAAAAGCAUAGUUAUACAGAUCCUCAUAAUAUAGAGCUUCCCCUUCUGUUGUUUCACCAUUCUUUUUACCUUUUCAAAUCUCAGCAGCUUCUUCAUUCUUUCUCUUACUUUAAUGACUUCUCUAACUAAAAUAUUUGCACUAAGAAUUCACU
Molecule: long non-coding RNA, 274 nt
Filed under: Nicotiana benthamiana
Lineage: Eukaryota; Viridiplantae; Streptophyta; Magnoliopsida; Solanales; Solanaceae
Description: long non-coding RNA (NBEN_LNC008849)
Source: RNAcentral